GGAUUACCUCAGUAACGGCGAGUGAAGCGGUAACAGCUCAAAUUUGAAAGCUGCCAACAGGCCGCGUUGUAAUUUGUAGAAGAUGCUUUGGGGGUAGGCCUAGUCUAAGUUCCUUGGAACAGGACGUCAUAGAGGGUGAGAAUCCCGUAUGUGAUUAGUGCCUUCUCCCGUGUAAAGCUCUUUCGACGAGUCGAGUUGUUUGGGAAUGCAGCUCAAAAUGGGUGGUAUAUUUCAUCUAAAGCUAAAUAUUGGCCAGAGACCGAUAGCGCACAAGUAGAGUGAUCGAAAGAUGAAAAGCACUUUGGAAAGAGAGUUAAACAGUACGUGAAAUUGUUGAAAGGGAAGCGCUUGCAACCAGACUUGCAGGCGGUCGAUCAUCCGAGGUUCUCCCCGGUGCACUCGAUCGUCUUCAGGCCAGCAUCGGUUUUGGUGGCGGGAUAAAGGCUCUAGGAAUGUGGCUCUUCGGAGUGUUAUAGCCUAGGGUGCAAUGCCGCCUACCGGGACCGAGGACCGCGCUUCGGCUAGGAUGCUGGCGUAAUGGUUGUAAGCGGCCCGUCUUGAAACACGGACCAAGGAGUCUAACAUCUAUGCGAGUGUUUGGGUGUCAAACCCAUACGCGUAAUGAAAGUGAACGGAGGUGAGAGCCCUUUAGGGCGCAUCAUCGACCGAUCCUGAUGUCUUCGGAUGGAUUUGAGUAAGAGCAUAGCUGUUGGGACCCGAAAGAUGGUGAACUAUGCGUGAAUAGGGUGAAGCCAGAGGAAACUCUGGUGGAGGCUCGCAGCGGUUCUGACGUGCAA
Molecule: ribosomal RNA, 797 nt
Filed under: Helotiales sp. 73 OA-2013
Lineage: Eukaryota; Fungi; Ascomycota; Leotiomycetes; Helotiales
Description: LSU rRNA
Rfam family: Eukaryotic large subunit ribosomal RNA
Source: RNAcentral